This 468-nucleotide ribosomal RNA is filed under the name uncultured bacterium. RNAcentral describes it as "partial 16S ribosomal RNA". It matches the Rfam family "Bacterial small subunit ribosomal RNA", at positions 28 to 507 of the family's 1533-position model. The record is from RNAcentral.
GACGAACGCUGGCGGCGUGCUUAACACAUGCAAGUCGAACGGAAAGGCCCUGCUUUUGUGGGGUGCUCGAGUGGCGAACGGGUGAGUAACACGUGAGUAACCUGCCCUUGACUUUGGGAUAACUUCAGGAAACUGGGGCUAAUACCGGAUAGGAGCUCCUGCUGCAUGGUGGGGGUUGGAAAGUUUCGGCGGUUGGGGAUGGUCUCGCGGCUUAUCAGCUUGUUGGUGGGGUAGUGGCUUACCAAGGCUUUGACGGGUAGCCGGCCUGAGAGGGUGACCGGCGACAUUGGGACUGAGAUACGGCCCAGACUCCUACGGGAGGCAGCAGUGGGGAAUAUUGCACAAUGGGCGGAAGCCUGAUGCAGCAACGCCGCGUGCGGGAUGACGGCCUUCGGGUUGUAAACCGCUUUCGCCUGUGACGAAGCGUGAGUGACGGUAAUGGGUAAAGAAGCACCGGCUAACUACGUG